Thalassophryne amazonica is the source of this 1345-nucleotide long non-coding RNA. RefSeq lists it as uncharacterized. The transcript is spliced from 2 exons. Lineage: Eukaryota; Metazoa; Chordata; Actinopteri; Batrachoidiformes; Batrachoididae. The record is from RefSeq and is a predicted model, not a curated record.
CAUACGCAAAUGAGUUGUACCCGGAAGCCCGCCCGUAUAAACAAUGGAUUUGUUACCUGGACUAAUCAAGAUGAGUUAUUUUUUGCGCGUUUCUUUUGAAACUGCAGCAUCAGAGGAACACGCGUCUUCUUCAGGACUUGUUCAGAAAGAAACGAGCGCGGCGGAAUGUGUUUUUACGUGAUGUAGCACGGAAAGCCGUAACGAAAACACCGACGGAUUAAACAGCUGAUUUACGAGCCAAAUGAAAAAGACGACUUGGAGAUCAGACGGAGCUUUGAGGAAACGAAUUAUAUUCCUCAAAUAACUGACGGGACUCACAGACAAAUGCAGGGUGUGAAAAACACUGAGGGCGAAGACGUACGGCUACGAAUCAUUGGUGACCCUGCAGAUCCACUCCUCAACUGGUUGCUGAAAGGCUGCAUAAAUUCUACACAUCUGAACCCAGAGGAGAAAUCUGUUAAUGUGAACCUCAGCUCACUCUGUGUGACAGAAGAAAACACUUUAAGGAUUUUGAAGUCGAGGUGGAGGGUGAUACUGAAGAGAUUUUCACUUCACCUUUACCCCAGCUGUGAUAGCAACCUGCUGUGCACUUCCUAAUUUCUGUCAAAAUGAGAGGAACAAUGCAAGCAACAACUGGUUGGAGAACACUGGUCACUUUGAUGGCAUCUUUCCUCAGCCUGGACCACAAGUCUGGAUGCAGAGCCGUUCCAGUGGGAGCAGGACAACGAUGGCAUUGAAAGAGUACAUGUUGAAUCACUUCCCUCUCCAAAAUGGUCAUCUCCAUUAACACAAUAAUAAUAAUAAUAAAAAAAUCUGACAAACAUUUUCUCUUUUUUUAUUAAAGUGAAUACAACUUCUUCCGUACACAUAUAAAAUAAAAACCUGGCAGCACCACAGCAAUCUGGUUAAAAAUAAAAUAUAGUACUAAAAACUUUUAAUCACUUACAUCAGAGCUUGGCAUUCUUAAACUGGUAUUACUGUAAUGUCAGAUCAUAAAACCAAACCCUAAAGGCGGCUCUUUGUCAGCAAAAUAACAUACUAUCAGGAAAAAUUUUAAGAAACUAAACAUCAGGGCCAGUUUCUUAUAUUCAAUUUCUACAUGUUGUGUAGGCUGUAGUCAACGUUUCCACUGUUAUUUUGAUUUUUCUGCAUGUGCCGAAGUGGCAGGUGGUAACUUGGGUUGGGUGGUCAGGUGGCUCGCUGUGAUUGGUGAUGAAACAGUGGACUUAGUAGAGGACCAAGCUGAGAUGCGUGCACAUCAUUUAGAAAAGAUUAACUCACCUGUUCCAGACUAAUAUGACUCCAAUGAACAACUUGAGAUAUGUGCCAAAAUCUCUAUCCAGGA